This 446-nucleotide long non-coding RNA is filed under the name Elaeis guineensis (African oil palm). Its description in RNAcentral is "long non-coding RNA (EGUI_LNC009769)". The record is from RNAcentral. Lineage: Eukaryota; Viridiplantae; Streptophyta; Magnoliopsida; Arecales; Arecaceae.
CCUCUCUAUCUUGUCUCCUUAUAUGUGGCAGCAUGUCUUCUCACCACCAUCUUGCCAUUGUCAUAGUCAGGUAUUUCGAACCAUUGUUAAAUGAAGUAGUAUCAAAAUAAGCUGCUGCCAGCUUUGAAUUGGUGGAUGGUGCUUUCAUUCUCUACCACCAUGAUAAUAUAAUAAAGCCUCAUCACCAAUGACCAGUGGUGAAGGUUGAAGGUGAGCCUGCCACUUUUCCUCCUUCGUGUUCUAUUCCGUUUUACGUGGGCAUGGUCCAAUGACAAACAAAGUCUGGUCAUAAUGUUGUAGGCAUCGAGGGUUUGAGGAGGUCUAAUAUUUUUCGCUGAAGAAAACAAAUCUUGCUGACGGUAGAUAUGGCAUGGGUGGUACCUCCAACAAGAAGUUUAAGCUGGAAGAUUAAACCAAUAUUACUACACCCAAUGGAAGAGAGGGUA